This 229-nucleotide ribosomal RNA is filed under the name uncultured bacterium. RNAcentral's name for it is "partial 16S ribosomal RNA". It matches the Rfam family "Bacterial small subunit ribosomal RNA", at positions 568 to 796 of the family's 1533-position model. The record is from RNAcentral.
UCCGUAGGCGGGCAAUUAAGUCAGAGGUGAAAUCUUUCGGCUUAACCGGGAAACUGCCAUUGAUACUGUUAGUCUUGAGUUCGGUUGAGGUAGGCGGAAUGUGUAAUGUAGCGGUGAAAUGCUUAGAUAUUACACAGAACACCAAUUGCGUAGGCAGCUUACUAGACCGACACUGACGCUGAGGCACGAAAGCGUGGGGAGCGAACAGGAUUAGAUACCCUGGUAGUCC